RNAcentral lists this unclassified non-coding RNA (773 nucleotides) under Hevea brasiliensis (rubber tree). The record is from RNAcentral. Lineage: Eukaryota; Viridiplantae; Streptophyta; Magnoliopsida; Malpighiales; Euphorbiaceae.
GUUUAUGCAUGGUAUGGAGCUUCUGCAAAAACUUUGGCCGGAAUUUUGGCUCAUGGAUUUGGGGAGCCAGUUCAGAUUCCUUCCUCUGAUACCACCCAUGGCAUUGGAGUUUAUUUGUCUCCAUUGGGAUUGCCAUAUUUAAGUUCUAAGCUAUUGGAGGCCGAUGACAAUGGAGUUAAACAUAUGGUUUUAUGUCGAGUUAUAUUGGGUAAAAUUGAAAAAGUUGAAGCAGGAUCUCAACAAUCUCAUCCUUCGAGUACAGAGUUCGACACUGGCGUGGAUGAUCCAACAUUUCCAACGCGGUAUAUUGUAUGGUGUAGCAAUAUGAACAGACACAUUUUACCAGAAUACAUAGUGAGCUUUAAAUCAACAAAUUGUUUGCCGGGUAAGUUGAGAGAAUCGACUGAUACAAAGUAUUCCCUUGUGAAACUACUUUCGAAGAUGAGGAAUUCCCUGCCUACUUCUAAAGUUCAAGAGGUUGCAGUAUUGUUUCAGAAAUUUAAGGUUGGAGAAUUGGCAAAAGAUGUUCUUGUUAAAAGGUUACGAUCAAUUGCUGGAGAUGAGAUGCUUCUAUCCAUGAUUCGUGAAAUUCGUGGAUGUCAAUGAGGUUCUUCCAAGUUUUAUUUGGAAGCAUUUGGAAUUUCAAUAAUUGUGCUUUACCAUUUCGUAGAACAAGUUGUCGGAUCACAGAUGUUACCAUACAAGUAGUUUUAGCAAAGAAAGCUCAAUAUACAGUAGAAAGAUUAGAAAAACAUUUGUAAUUCUUCCUUAAA